Molecule: ribosomal RNA, 253 nt
Filed under: uncultured bacterium
Lineage: Bacteria
Description: partial 16S ribosomal RNA
Rfam family: Bacterial small subunit ribosomal RNA
Source: RNAcentral
UACGGAGGGUGCAAGCGUUAUCCGGAUUCACUGGGUUUAAAGGGUGCGUAGGCGGGCAGGUAAGUCCGUGGUGAAAUCUCUGAGCUUAACUCAGAAACUGCCAUGGAUACUAUUUGUCUUGAAUAUUGUGGAGGUAAGCGGAAUAUGUCAUGUAGCGGUGAAAUGCUUAGAUAUGACAUAGAACACCAAUUGCGAAGGCAGCUUACUACACAGUUAUUGACGCUGAGGCACGCAAGCGUGGGGAUCAAACAGG